RNAcentral lists this transfer RNA (64 nucleotides) under Zele chlorophthalmus. RNAcentral describes it as "tRNA-Pro". Lineage: Eukaryota; Metazoa; Arthropoda; Insecta; Hymenoptera; Braconidae. The record is from RNAcentral.
CAAAAAAUAGUUUAAAAUUUAAAACAUUAAUCUUGGGGAUUAAAAUUAUCUUAGAUUUUUUUGA